GACGAACGCUGGCGGCGUGCUUAACACAUGCAAGUCGAACGGAAAGGCCCUGCUUGCAGGGUACUCGAGUGGCGAACGGGUGAGUAACACGUGGGUGAUCUGCCCUGCACUUCGGGAUAAGCCUGGGAAACUGGGUCUAAUACCGGAUAGGAGCCAUUUUUAGUGUGAUGGUUGGAAAGUUUUUUCGGUGUAGGAUGAGCUCGCGGCCUAUCAGCUUGUUGGUGGGGUAAUGGCCUACCAAGGCGGCGACGGGUAGCCGGCCUGAGAGGGUGGACGGCCACAUUGGGACUGGGAUACGGCCCAGACUCCUACGGGAGGCAGCAGGGGGGAAUAUUGCACAAUGGGCGCAAGCCUGAUGCAACGACGCCGCGUGGGGGAUGACGGCCUUCGGGUUGUAAACUCCUUUCGCUAGGGACGAAGCUUUUUGUGACGGUACCUAGAUAAGAAGCACCGGCUAACUACGUG
Molecule: ribosomal RNA, 465 nt
Filed under: uncultured bacterium
Lineage: Bacteria
Description: partial 16S ribosomal RNA
Rfam family: Bacterial small subunit ribosomal RNA
Source: RNAcentral